ACUAUGAAAUAAUUUUGAAGCACUUUAUUAGUUCAUUAUUGACCUGUACUUUGGUCAAUGUCUAGGUUUGUUUAGUGUUGUUUUUUUUCAUGAUUUGCUAUUUACUUUCUGAUUUGAUUAUUUGUUGAUGUAGGGUUUAUGAUUUUUCAACAAGGACUUUUGCCAGUUGUUACUUAUCUGACCUUCAUUUUUUUCCUUCUUAAUUUCUGCAGUGUGUCGCAUCACAACCGGAUACUAGGAUCCAUUUCUUAAAUGGAAAUGAAUUGCUGCUGAAAUAGGAGUUGAAGCAUUUUUUUAUCGUUUUUAAGUAUUUUCUAUUUUCAAAGUUGAGAGAGUCAGGAAUGAUGUUGAACUGUAUAUCGAAUAUUAUUACUCUAUUGCUGUU
This is a long non-coding RNA of Ananas comosus (pineapple), 385 nucleotides long. RefSeq lists it as uncharacterized. The record is from RefSeq and is a predicted model, not a curated record. Lineage: Eukaryota; Viridiplantae; Streptophyta; Magnoliopsida; Poales; Bromeliaceae. The transcript is spliced from 2 exons.